AGAGUAAGAGACACUCCGGUAGCAGGGAUGAUUUGCCCGUAGAUCGAACAGUACAGGCAUUGGCAUGGCAACGACAGGAACCACAGGCAAAUCAUCCCUGGCUACCAAAGAUGGCCUCUUACUU
Molecule: microRNA precursor, 124 nt
Filed under: Zea mays
Lineage: Eukaryota; Viridiplantae; Streptophyta; Magnoliopsida; Poales; Poaceae
Source: RNAcentral